AAUGAUUGGGUAUCGAUGAUCGAUGUGUGGGAAACUGAAGAAUGGAAGACAAAAUCUUAUAAAGCGAAGGAGAGUCGAUCAAAGUUGCCCUACAAUCAUAUAUCUGGUUCCCGAUCAUUUGCAGCAGCGAUGUCACUAAUU
Molecule: long non-coding RNA, 141 nt
Organism: Asparagus officinalis (garden asparagus)
Lineage: Eukaryota; Viridiplantae; Streptophyta; Magnoliopsida; Asparagales; Asparagaceae
Exons: 2
Source: RefSeq, a predicted model, not a curated record